This is a long non-coding RNA of Poecilia reticulata (guppy), 1168 nucleotides long. RefSeq lists it as uncharacterized. NCBI's taxonomy places the organism in Eukaryota, Metazoa, Chordata, Actinopteri, Cyprinodontiformes, Poeciliidae. The record is from RefSeq and is a predicted model, not a curated record.
CAUCUGUAAACCCAGAUAUUUUUAAUAAUUGAUGUUGUGUCUCGUUUUUAUCCUGGCCUCCAUUCUUGGACUAAGUAUAAAAUCCUGCGGGAUUUUGUGGGAUUUGAGUUUUUAAAAGUGGGAGUUUUUAAGAACAGGGACGUUUAGGGCUAGCUGCUGCAGCUUUUGGCUUUCCUUCGUUUUAAAUCGUUUUAAAUGAUUAGUUUUUCAUUUUUGAACAUAUUUUUUACCGACAUGCCUUGUAGUUUCUAGACGCAUCUGAUCUUUAAAAGAAUUGGUUUUCCUGAGCUUAGAAAUGGGAAGAAACGAACAGCUUCUCUAUCUGAUGUUUCUGGCCUGAACGCAGAUGAUGGACGUCCAGCUGAGACCAACAGCAAAGCUUCAGUCAGGAGCAUCUAAUGGGCCGCCGACUGGAAACACAGACUGUUAGAAAGAGAAGAAAACAUCUUUACGCCGUUUUUCUGAUUCACUUCGUUGGAGGUCCAACGUUUCCGCCGUGAUGAGAAAAGAUGAAACCUGAGUAAAUACUGAAAAUACGAUUUAUUUAGAAGGAAAGGAAAUAUUUCCAAACCAACCGAGUGAAAAAUCUAACCAGGUCAUCCAGAUACUGAAGCAGAAAAGCAGGCCCAGACCAUCAUACUGCCACCACCGUGUUUCACUGCUGUUGCUCUGAAAUGCUGCAGAUGUAACGGGACCAGAACCUUCCUGGAAGGCCCAGUUGGUCCCAUCAGUCCCAUUAUAUUAUAUUAUAUUAUAUUAUAUUAUAUUAUAUUAUAUUAUAUUAUAUUAUAUUAUAUUAUAUUAUAUUUUCCACAAGCGUUUGAGAUCCUCAAGAUGAUUUCUGUUAAAUGUGAGACGGGCCUCCAUGUUCUUUUGGGUCAGCAGUGGUUCUGGAGUUUAGUCCAGUCUCUCUUUCUCAUUGUUGAAUCAUGACCUUUGACCUUAACAGAAGUGAUUUGUGACCCUUUCCAGAGCGGAGGUGAAGCGGAUCCAGGUCCAGUUUGUUACUUUCUGAAGCUUUUCUAGCCUACUUCAUGUUGUGAGACGGGCUCUAUUUAAAUGAUCGGUGACAUCCUUAAAUGUUCGUUAAAUGUGGUUAUGUAUAUUUCCUUAUUUUGGAUGGUUUGGCAUUACUUGUGUAGAAAAUAAACUGAACUAUUGUGAGUUU